RNAcentral lists this unclassified non-coding RNA (238 nucleotides) under Hevea brasiliensis (rubber tree). Lineage: Eukaryota; Viridiplantae; Streptophyta; Magnoliopsida; Malpighiales; Euphorbiaceae. The record is from RNAcentral.
GGUAAUUGAGUACUACUGGGACAUGGUUGUUAAUAAUAAUGGAUAACAGUCUUUAAGCUCAAGAAAUGGCUGUUGGUGAUGAUGGGAAAGACGCUCUCUUUUGCUUUGCAAAGUAACAGAGAGAGAGACAGAGAGAGAAAGGGCCUUAUCUAUCUGAUCUGAUGGGACACAGAAGAAAGCCAAUGGGAAGAGCUGAGAUUGGUGAGGACGUUGACAGAGGAUAGUCGCUCGCUGCCCA